Molecule: ribosomal RNA, 440 nt
Filed under: uncultured bacterium
Lineage: Bacteria
Description: partial 16S ribosomal RNA
Rfam family: Bacterial small subunit ribosomal RNA
Source: RNAcentral
CCUACGGGAGGCAGCAGUGGGGGAUAUUGCACAAUGGGGGAAACCCUGAAGCAGCAACGCCGCGUGGAGGAUGAAGGUUUUCGGAUUGUAAACUCCUUUUGUUAGAGAAGAUAAUGACGGUAUCUAACGAAUAAGCACCGGCUAACUCCGUGCCAGCAGCCGCGGUAAUACGGAGGGUGCAAGCGUUACUCGGAAUCACUGGGCGUAAGGAGCGCGUAGGCGGGAUAGCAAGUCAGAUGUGAAAUCCUAUGGCUUAACCAUAGAACUGCAUUUGAAACUGUUAUUCUAGAGUAUGGGAGAGGUAGGUGGAAUUCUUGGUGUAGGGGUAAAAUCCGUAGAGAUCAAGAGGAAUACUCAUUGCGAAGGCGACCUGCUAGAACAUAACUGACGCUGAUGCGCGAAAGCGUGGGGAGCAAACAGGAUUAGAUACCCGGGUAGUC